CCGGAAGACUAAUCGAGUGGCGGACGGGUGAGUAACGCGUGAGCAACCUGUCCCAGACAGGGGGAUAACACUUGGAAACAGGUGCUAAUACCGCAUAAGACCACGGGGUCACAUGGGCUCUGGGGGUAAAAAGGAGCAAUCCGGUUUGGGGUGGGCUCGCGUCCGAUUAGAUAGUUGGUGAGGUAACGGCCCACCAAGUCGACGAUCGGUAGCCGACCUGAGAGGGUGAUCGGCCACAUUGGAACUGAGAGACGGUCCAAACUCCUACGGGAGGCAGCAGUGGGGAAUAUUGGGCAAUGGGCGAAAGCCCUGACCCAGCAACGCCGCGUGAGUGAAGAAGGCCUUCGGGUUGUAAAGCUCUGUUAUAGGGGACGAAGGAAGUGACGGUACCCUAUAAGGAAGCCCCGGCUAACUACGUGCCAGCCGCAGC
RNAcentral lists this ribosomal RNA (430 nucleotides) under uncultured bacterium. RNAcentral's name for it is "bacterial SSU rRNA". It matches the Rfam family "Bacterial small subunit ribosomal RNA", at positions 79 to 518 of the family's 1533-position model. The record is from RNAcentral.